This is a non-coding RNA of Hydra vulgaris (swiftwater hydra), 1296 nucleotides long. The record is from RefSeq and is a predicted model, not a curated record. NCBI's taxonomy places the organism in Eukaryota, Metazoa, Cnidaria, Hydrozoa, Anthoathecata, Hydridae.
CAGUCUUCAUAAUAAAUUAAAAAAUAACAUUAUUUGUUUUCAAAAACAUCUCGUAGUUGGUGGAAUAAUAACAACAGAAUGGAGUAUCAAAAAGUUAAAGGCGAAAGGAGAAAUUCAUUCCUCUACAUAGCUGGGAAUAAUUGCUAUGUAAAAAACAAGAGUCACAGCGGUUACAUUUAUUUAAAGAGCAAAAACUAUCAACUGUGUGUUGGAACUGCAAAAAUACGCGAAGGAAGUGAUUUACGUAAUGUGAUUCCAAAACAGAAGAUUUUAGCCAUUUGGAAGCGAUGGAAAGAAUGAGACUCAAAGCUGCAACUACACAAAUUCCAUUACGCCAGAUUUAAAUGGAAAUCAUUUGAGACUGUCCUGAAAAUGUAAAAAAUUGUUUAUCCUACUUAAAAUGUGAACAGAUACUUCGUCGUGCAAGAAAAACUCAGUACAGUGCAAAUCCCAACAGCGUAGAAGAAGCAGUAUUGGCAAUAUCUAAGCCAAAUCCAUUUACCAACAUUCUGAAAGGAAUCGUCAGAUUUGAAGACCAAUUGGCCAUACUAUUAUGUUCAUCAGCACUACUACAAAUAAUCUCAGGAUCUACAAUUAUUUUCAUUGAUGCAACAUUUCGCGUUGUUCCUAACAUCUUUGAAGGAGGUCAACUACUAAAUAUCUCCAUUAUGCAUUGUGACAAUGUCCUUCCUGUGUUUCAUGUACUUAUGACUGGCAAAAAAGAAGGCAUUUACAUUGCUAAAUUUAGAAAAAUUAAGGAACUUUCAAGUGACUUUCAACUACGAAUUUUUAGGCUGACUAUGAAGCAGCAAUAGGCAGUGCCUUGAAGAUUGUCUUCCCUGAAAUAAGACUGACUGGUUGCCGGUUUUAUUACGGCCAGGCAACUUUAAGAAAAAUCAAAGCUGUUUAAGAAAAAUCAAAGCUUCAAUCUAAUUACAUCAACAACUCUGCAAUUUAGAGGUUGGGUCAGAAAUACGUUGCUAUGUGCCUCUUGCCUUGUGUUUUCAUCAGAGCAAAAGUAGAUUUACUCAAAACAGAGAUGAGUCGAUUUGCAAACAUUGAAACUCGUAAAAAAAUGAAAAAGUUUGUGUAUUAUUUUGAGAAGUAUUGGAUGACAACACAAACCCCAGCUUUUUUUUCUGUGCAUGGACUUCAAUUCAGAACCAACAAUGUCUCGGAAUCACUGCCGGUUUCUGGAAGUUUCUAGACGAUAUACGAGUAUAUUAUCAGGUAUAGCCAUAUUUAAAUGAAUAUUGUAAAGGAUAAAUUUCGUCGAUUAAACUCAUAAUAAAGUAA